AUUGUGCCAGCAGCCGCGCGGUAAUACAGAGACCACGAGCGUUAUCCGGAUUUAUUGGGCGUAAAGCGUCCGCAGGUGGUUCGGUAAGUCAUGUGUCAAAUUUCUGGGCUCAACCCGGAUCAGGCGCGUGAUACUGCCAAACUCGAGACCGGGAGAGGCACAUGGAAUUGCUGGUGUAGCGGUAAAAUGCGUUAAUAUCAGCAAGAACACCAAAGGCGAAGGCAAUGUGCUGGAACGGUUCUGACACUCAUGGACGAAAGCGUGGGUAGCGAAUGGGAUUAGAUACCCCAGUAGUCCACGCCCUAAACGAUGGAUGCUAGAUAUUGGAAGUAUCGACCCUUCCAGUGUCGUUGAACCAAGCUAACGCGUUAAGCAUCCCGCCUGGGGAGUACGAUCGCAAGAUUAAAACUCAAAGGAAUAGACGGGGACCCGCACAAGCGGUGGAGCAUGUGGUUUAAUUCGACGGUAAGCGAGGAACCUUACCUGGGCUUGAAAGAUAGCUGCAAGCCGCCGGAAACGGUGGCCGCCUUCGAGGGUGCUAUCUAGGUGCUGCAUGGUCGUCGUCAGCUCGUGCCGUGAGGUGUACCCUUAAGUGGGGUAACGAGCGCAACCCCUGUCAUGUGUUACAUUUCCACAUGAGACUGCCCGUGCAAACGGGGAGGAAGGCGGGGAUGACGUCAGAUCAGCAUGGCCCUUACGUCCAGGGCGACACACGUGCUACAAUGGACAGUACAAUGGGUUGCCAAGCCGCAAGGCGGAGCUAAUCCUAUCAAAGCUGUCCCCAGUUCGGAUCGAGGGCUGCAACUCGCCCUCGUGAAGCCGGAAUCGCUAGUAAUGGCCCGAUCAGCCACGCGGCCGUGAUACGUUCUCGGGUCUUGCACACACGCCCGUCAAUCGUCGACUGCAGCAUGCAGCUUGCACUGGCGUCGUUUACACGUCGUGACUGGGAAACCUGCGUACCACUAUCGCAUGCGAUUUCCUCCUUAUAGGACUGGUGCGAAUUCACUCCGGCAAUGGUGGCACCAUCUCUGAUUUACAAAAUCUUUGGCUGA
This 1052-nucleotide ribosomal RNA is filed under the name uncultured prokaryote. RNAcentral describes it as "bacterial SSU rRNA". It matches the Rfam family "Bacterial small subunit ribosomal RNA", at positions 502 to 1533 of the family's 1533-position model. The record is from RNAcentral.